This 468-nucleotide ribosomal RNA is filed under the name uncultured bacterium. RNAcentral describes it as "partial 16S ribosomal RNA". It matches the Rfam family "Bacterial small subunit ribosomal RNA", at positions 28 to 507 of the family's 1533-position model. The record is from RNAcentral.
GACGAACGCUGGCGGCGUGCUUAACACAUGCAAGUCGAACGGAAAGGCCCUGCUUUUGUGGGGUGCUCGAGUGGCGAACGGGUGAGUAACACGUGAGUAACCUGCCCUUGACUUUGGGAUAACUUCAGGAAACUGGGGCUAAUACCGGAUAGGAGCUCCUGCUGCAUGGUGGGGGUUGGAAAGUUUCGGCGGUUGGGGAUGGACUCGCGGCUUAUCAGCUUGUUGGUGGGGUAGUGGCUUACCAAGGCUUUGACGGGUAGCCGGCCUGAGAGGGUGACCGGCCACAAUGGGACUGAGAUACGGCCCAGACUCCUACGGGAGGCAGCAGUGGGGAAUAUUGCACAAUGGGCGGAAGCCUGAUGCAGCAACGCCGCGUGCGGGAUGACGGCCUUCGGGUUGUAAACCGCUUUCGCCUGUGACGAAGUGUGAGUGACGGUAAUGGGUAAAGAAGCACCGGCUAACUACGUG